This 214-nucleotide long non-coding RNA is filed under the name Nicotiana benthamiana. RNAcentral's name for it is "long non-coding RNA (NBEN_LNC040811)". The record is from RNAcentral. Lineage: Eukaryota; Viridiplantae; Streptophyta; Magnoliopsida; Solanales; Solanaceae.
AAUACUUGAAGUUGAAGAAGCUUUGAAUCGAAAGACCCUAGUGGUCUUCUUCUUCACACACUCGAUUCACAAAUUCAAACCAAAACUCGUGUCAAACCAGUUUCUAAUCUUGAGAUUUAGCUUCAAAAUGAAGUUUCCGGCAGGUAUCAUAAACACCCAAUCGAAUCCACAUUCUGAUUUGAGGGAUUUUGAUUUGGGAUUUCUAUAUCUGGAC